This 460-nucleotide ribosomal RNA is filed under the name uncultured bacterium. RNAcentral's name for it is "partial 16S ribosomal RNA". It matches the Rfam family "Bacterial small subunit ribosomal RNA", at positions 338 to 795 of the family's 1533-position model. The record is from RNAcentral.
CCUACGGGGUGCAGCAGUGAGGAAUAUUGGUCAAUGGACGAGAGUCUGAACCAGCCAAGUAGCGUGAAGGAUGACUGCCCUAUGGGUUGUAAACUUCUUUUAUAUGGGAAUAAAAUGUUCCACGUGUGGGAUUUUGUAUGUACCAUAUGAAUAAGGAUCGGCUAACUCCGUGCCAGCAGCCGCGGUAAUACGGAGGAUCCGAGCGUUAUCCGGAUUUAUUGGGUUUAAAGGGGGCGUAGGUGGAUUGUUAAGUCAGUUGUGAAAGUUUGCGGCUCAACCGUAAAAUUGCAGUUGAAACUGGCAGUCUUGAGUACAGUAGAGGUGGGCGGAAUUCGUGGUGUAGCGGUGAAAUGCUUAGAUAUCACGAAGAACUCCGAUUGCGAAGGCAGUUCACUGGACUGCAACUGACACUGAGGCUCGAAAGUGUGGGUAUCAAACAGGAUUAGAUACCCUGGUAGUC